CUUGCGCAGGUCUGGGUACGUGUCGAAUUACGCCUUACUUUUAGGAGGUGUGUUGAGGAAAGUACCUUAGUUAGGUGGAAUGAGCUUAUCAAGGUUGUUGAGCCAGUGUGUCUAUCUGAUUCCCCAGAUCAGCCUGUCUAGAUGCUGGAAUCUUCCAACAAGUACUCUGUCAAAUCCUUUUAUAAGGUAAUUAGCUUUGGAGGGAUAUCAUCUGAAAUUAAAGAUGAUAUCUAGAAAAUCAAAGUUCCACCCAAUAUCCAUGUUUUCCUCUUGUUGAUCUACUAUAAUAAGAGCUUAACUAGAGAUAAUCUUGCCAAGCGCAGGCAUGCAGAUGACAUGUCCUGUGUCUUUUGCAACGAGCCUGAAACUAUCUAACAUCUCUUCUUUCAUUGCAUUGUUGCUAGACAUGUUUGGAAUUUGGUAGCUGAUAGCUUUAAUGUUACUGCGCCUGAUUCUUUUGUUCUGCCGGCUUCCUUCUGGAAGAGGAGAAAAUAUUUUGAAGCUUUAAACAUUGUUACUGCUGCUACCUUGUGGAGCUUAUGGCAUUUUCGAAAUGACUUUGUUUUCCAGGGGCGAAGAUGA
This 582-nucleotide ribosomal RNA is filed under the name Triticum aestivum (bread wheat). RNAcentral's name for it is "partial small subunit ribosomal RNA". The record is from RNAcentral. Lineage: Eukaryota; Viridiplantae; Streptophyta; Magnoliopsida; Poales; Poaceae.